RNAcentral lists this ribosomal RNA (301 nucleotides) under uncultured bacterium. RNAcentral's name for it is "partial 16S ribosomal RNA". It matches the Rfam family "Bacterial small subunit ribosomal RNA", at positions 509 to 807 of the family's 1533-position model. The record is from RNAcentral.
CAGCAGCCGCGGGAAUACGUAGGUGGCAAGCGUUGUCCGGAAUUAUUGGGCGUAAAGCGCGCGCAGGUGGUCUAAUAAGUCUGAUGUGAAAGCCCCCGGCUCAACCGGGGAGGGUCAUUGGAAACUGGGAAACUUGAGUGCAGAAGAGGAGAGUGGAAUUCCACGUGUAGCGGUGAAAUGCGUAGAGAUGUGGAGGAACACCAGUGGCGAAGGCGACUCUCUGGUCUGUAACUGACGCUGAGGAGCGAAAGCGUGGGGAGCGAACAGGAUUAGAUACCCCGGUAGUCCCUGUCUCUUAUAC